UGCAAAGGAGCCUAACACACCACCCUUCUCUGUAUAAAACGUGGACUGUUUGUCUCAUAGUCAGUUGGAGUAGAGAAGAGCAGCUCCCACCAGUUCAGCUUCAGCACAAACCAUGUUCUCUGCAUCUCUGCUGCUGCUCCUGCUGGCAGCUGCCUCCUAUGUAUGGUGCGGCGGUCUUGAACUCAGCCAGCCAAGUUUAUUGGUUGUAAAGCCUGGAGAGUCUCUUGUAAGGUCUCUGGGUAUUCUGUUAGUGAUAGCAGCAUAAGCUUUGCCACAGGUCGGGUUCAAAAGCCUGCAGGGAAAGCAAUAGAGUGGAUUUCCCAUAUAUGGGAUAAUGGAGAUAUCUACAAAAUUGAUUCACUGAAAAACGUGUUCAGCAUUUCAAGAGAUGCCUACAGCAACUCUGUGUCUUUUAAAACGCAGAGCCUGCAACAAGACACAGCUACCCUCCACAGCUACCCUGUUCACUACCCUCCACAGCUACCCUGUUCGCUACCCUCCACAGCUACCCUGUUCUCUACCCUCCACAGUGAUACAAACCAAUACCAGACCUGAACAAUUACCCAGAUACCCAUGGGAGAAUGAUGCAAGCACAUUAUAAUAUAAAUGUAUCUCCACACCAAGAUAUCAACAUGUUUAAGAUUAAUGGUCAUUCUCAAAAACAGUUAAAUUAUAAUUUGGUAAAUUAACAUGACAAAAAUCAUAAAACCAUACAUCAUUAAAAGCUUUAAAUAAAUGUUAACCCAAAUAAAACUGAACUUUUGUUCCUUAUCUUCAACACAUUAUACUAAAGCCAUUAUAUACUCAACACGUCUCAUAAGUCAAAUCUGAACUACAGAGAGCAGAAUAAAGGACAGAGAGGAGAGAGAAUAAAGGAAUAGAGCAGAAGAUCUCUCCCACUCAGUCUGUAUUUAAACCUCUAGAGGGUGGUCUAUGCAAAGUCUCCCUCCCCUUCAUCCCUUUAUAAUCACACACUCAUCUCCGGCCUUCUCAUUAUAGGCAGCUUGGACUGACAUUACAAGUCCUGUACUAACUAAUACUGAACAAUGGAGCUUCUGACUGUCUGGAGUUUAGUUGUCAUGGUGAUGUCCAUACACAGUGUUUGCUGUGAUGAGAUGAAUCAGUCUCCUUCUCAGCUGAAAAGACCUGGAGACCCGUUUAAAUUGUCAUGUAAAAUCUCUGGGUUUGAUAUGACAGACUAUUUCAUGCACUGGAUAAGGCAGAAACCAGACAAAGCUCUGGAGUGGAUUGGGGGUAUUAACUCUGGUUCAACAAAUGCUCCAGACUACUCAGACUCCCUGAAAGGCCAGUUCACCCUGACUGAGGACCUCUCUACAAGCACACAGUUCUUAGAGGCCAAGAGUCUGAGUUCAGAGGACUCUGCUGUUUAUUAUUGUGCUCGAGAGACACACUGACUGAAGCUGUUGAAGCAGCUGUACAAAAACAACCCUAGCAAAAAGGCUAGCUGGUGUACCGCUUCCCCUCUUUGUGUCACACUAUAAUAAUGCUGAGUAUAAUUACUGUAAAUAAUACAUCAACAAUAUCACAAAGCACUACACAAUAAAAGACUCCAACCUCUAACAUUCAAACUUCAUAAAAAUCUGAUCUCUUGCCCAGUCUUUCUUCAAGUUUGAAAUGCUCUCUUUUUAUCAACAGGUGUUCAGGGUCAGACACUGACUGAGUCUGGACCACACAUACUGACCUGUACAGCCUCUGAUUUAGACAUGAAUAGCUACUGGAUGGCUUGGAUCAGACAGGCACCUGGGAAAGGACUGGAGUGGGUUGCAACUAUUACCCAUAACAGCAGAAGCAAUUUCUACCCCCAGUCUGUUCAGAGUCAGUUCACCAUCUCCAGAGACAACAGCAAGCAUCAGGUGUAUCUCCAGAUGAACAGACUGAAGACUGGAGACUCUGCUGUUUAUUAUUGUGCCAGAGACACAGUGACACAGGAGGCUGCAGGGCUUUACAACAACUGAUCAAGCACUAAACAUGUUUGUAACAAUUAUAAAGCACUGUACCUGCAAGAUUUAGGUAACAUUUUGCAAUUCUAAAGAAUAAUUUAAUAAUGUUAUAAUAUAUACUACUUUACAAAACAGUUAACUGAUGGUUAAAAUAUAUUUUAAUAUUCUAAGAAAUAAUAGAUAUUUGUAUGAUCACCUAUCCACAUACCAUCUGAAUGUGUUGCUGUCCUCAUACAGCAGGUGUGUGGUGCUGGUGGGAGGUUUUUGUUAUGGUUUGUGUCACUGUGACUAUAUGGGGGCCACAGUGAUAUUACAUCGUACAAAACCCCCUUUGUUCCUGUAUGGACACAUCAACACUGAACAGGUCAAAUUAACACCCUCCACAACAAUGGUGGUAAACCUAAUGAAACCUCACCAUAAACAGGAUUUUGGCCAUAGUCAUGUUAGUGGAUUUUAUACUGCAACACUUAAAUCCAUACAUUUGCAAACCACUGUUACAAACUGACAAUGGCACAAACAUGGAAGAUGAAAUCAACAACUGAUAGGUGAAUAUUAUAAUGUAAGAAUCUGUGGUAAUGCUAUACUAUAGUGUCUACCAUUUAUGUUUCUUACACCUCACUGAGAACAGACAGAGUCAUAUUGAAUCCCUAUGGAGAUGUGAAGGAGGUGUUUUUGUACUGGGGUACAUCUAACAUUUUUACAUUUGUAUUUUUUAUUCAGAAAUGAUUACUUGUGGGUUACCUUCAUGUGUGUGCAAAAUAUUACUGUUCUCAGUUUUUUUUAUUUAAUUUGUAUUUUAGAUGUGUAUGAAAAAAAUGUAGGCGGGGGCAAAACGAAAUAUAUUCCGUGAAUUACAUUUUCAUAUAAUAUAUAUUUGACUGUGUGGUUGUCUCACCUAGCUGUCUUAAGAUGAAUGCACUUACUGUAAGUCGCUCAAGAUAAGAGCAUCUGCUAAACAAGUAAGAUAUCAAAUGUUUUACAUACAGAUCUAAUAUUACUGUAUUGAAUUACAAAAAUAUAUAAUAUUAAUGUCAGAAAUGUAUCAUUUUUACAGUUCUUUAUUAAAAAUGUAGUUAUGAACUACUUAUUUCUCUGAGAGUGAGGCAGAUAUAUUGCAUUUAGCAAAAAAACAUGAUUAUUAGUCUCCUUAAUGAAACCAUCAACUUUAAACAAAUACAUGUACAGUAUGUCAUGAUUAAAUAGUGAAAACCACACAAUCUCUUUCAUAAUUUCUUUAAACACUAAAUGCUAAUUUACCAACAUUUCUGAAAAUGGAAAUAUAGCGUUUGGAAUGAAACUCUUCAAAUGUACUUUUAGAUACCAGACGAUGUAAUGUAAUGUAAACUAAAAUCAUUAAUGGACCAAGGAUAGAUCCUUGAGAAACAUCCUAAAUUAAACUAUGUUCUGAUUUA
This is a long non-coding RNA of Oncorhynchus kisutch (coho salmon), 3373 nucleotides long. RefSeq lists it as uncharacterized. The record is from RefSeq and is a predicted model, not a curated record. The transcript has 3 exons. Lineage: Eukaryota; Metazoa; Chordata; Actinopteri; Salmoniformes; Salmonidae.